Molecule: ribosomal RNA, 714 nt
Filed under: Onnia tomentosa
Lineage: Eukaryota; Fungi; Basidiomycota; Agaricomycetes; Hymenochaetales; Hymenochaetaceae
Description: eukaryotic LSU rRNA
Rfam family: 5.8S ribosomal RNA (bases 279-432)
Source: RNAcentral
UGAGGGCUUUGAUGCUGGCACGGAAACGUGCAUGUGCUCGGGUCCUUGUGCUAAAUCCACUCUUAACACCUGUGCACCUUUCGAAGUCAGUAGUUGGUUCCUCAUUUGCUCGGAUGGCCUCUUACUUAGUAGCGUUUUGUUGACGGUCUUCAUUGACUUUAUCUUGACGCGAACGUAACGUUGUCUCCUUAUGCUGGGAUCGGCGAACACUUUGACUUUAUUAUAAACCUUUACUUGUCUUGUAGAAUGUAAUGCUCCUUGUGGGCGAAAUGAAAUACAACUUUCAACAACGGAUCUCUUGGCUCUCGCAUCGAUGAAGAACGCAGCGAAAUGCGAUAAGUAAUGUGAAUUGCAGAAUUCAGUGAAUCAUCGAAUCUUUGAACGCACCUUGCGCCCCUUGGUAUUCCGAGGGGCAUGCCUGUUUGAGUGUCAUGUUAAUCUCAAUCUCCUCGUCUUUUGUUACUUUCUUAACUGAAAGGAAAAGGGACUUUGGGGGUUGGACUUGGAGGUCUUGCUGGCCCUAUCUUUUGUGGUCGGCUCCUCUUAAAUGCAUUAGCUGAACUUUGGUUCGCGUGAUGUUGUCGGUGUAAUAGUUUUAUUCACUGCUGUUCCGCGCUUGCCUAAUGGGUUCGCUUCUAAUUGUCUUCGGACAAGGCUGCUUGAAGCCUUCUUGACCUUUGACCUCAAAUCAGGUAGGACUACCCGCUGAACUUA